CAGAGCCCAUAAAAAGCAGAGAUCCAGUCUCUCAGUUCCCAGACCCUGGAUUUUUUCCCUAAACCCUGCAGCCUGCCACCUCUCACAAUGGGGCCACUCACACUGCAGCCUUCCUCCCAGACCAUCCUGAGGGGCCCACAUCCAACAGAAAUCCAGACUCCAUGGCAUCUGAACCCAGAACCCAGUGGAAUGUGGACAGGGCUCCAGCCCUGUGAUCUGCAGCUGCAGGGCCUGCCUCUCAGCCAAUCCCUGAGGACAAUGCAUUUUGCUGGAAGAUUUCAAAGCAUACCUUGGGUAACUGGAACAGAAGCCUGCUGGCACCUUUCCCCACUGCGGAACAGCAGAGAGGGAAACUGAAGCUCAGAGGUAGCACCUGGGAGAAGGAGCUAAAAGUCCAAGCUCCUAAUGGAGCAGAAGAAUCCUUCCCAUCCAUUUGGAUGGCAAGCAUGGAUACUGGGAGAAAUCUCUCCAUCCCUACAUACUCCAACUCUGGCCUGCCUAAUGGUCUGCAAGAUCCCUGCUGGAAGCAGACAAUAACAAUGAUAAUAUCCCUGUUUUUUUUUUAAUCAAACACCUGUUAUGGAGUAGGCACAGUUAAACACUUUAAAUGCAUUACCUCAUUUAAUCCUCACAACACUCCAAACGAUGUAGAUAUUUUCAUUAUCCCCAUUUUACAGAUGAGAAAACCAAGAUACAGGCAGAUCCUGUAACUAGCCUAAGGUCUACAGCUGGUAAAGCCAGAAUUCAAAC
Molecule: long non-coding RNA, 750 nt
Filed under: Homo sapiens (human)
Lineage: Eukaryota; Metazoa; Chordata; Mammalia; Primates; Hominidae
Description: HSALNT0309006
Source: RNAcentral